Molecule: long non-coding RNA, 878 nt
Filed under: Anthonomus grandis grandis
Lineage: Eukaryota; Metazoa; Arthropoda; Insecta; Coleoptera; Curculionidae
Description: uncharacterized LOC126743672
Source: RNAcentral
UAAUUCUGACUCACGUUGGUUGCUAUCGGGCUUAAGCCAUAAAAAUUGAAGAAAAAAAGAAGAAGACGGCCCACUUUCACUUGUCAUUCCAAUGUCACUUUCUGGCCCACAAGCAUAAACGCCACCGGCAACGGGACUUCUUCGGGAGUUCCCAAAAUCCAAACAAAUGUUGAAAGAUAUUUUUAAGUCUCCACAUCUUUCUUAGUUUUCUAUAUGAAAAUAAAAUUGGAGUACACCAACAAAGGUUAAGUGUUUUGCACCAGAUUGUAAGCAUCAUAGCGAAAAACGGACCUGUCAUUUCUUUUAAUUUUCAAAAGAGCCCCUCGAAAUAGUGAAAUGAAUAUCUCUGCUAAGGAAUAGGUACUAAGGCAAAUGGAUAAAAAACCUAAAGGUCCAUGCAUUGGAAUGUAAUUGUCAUUUUGUUGACAAUAAUUGAAUGAAUGGGCCCAUUAUUUUUCCACAUGCAAUGAGGUUAAGCGAGGAGAAACUGAAGACUUUAUCAAAAACUCAGAAUUGCUUAGUACAAACUUAUCUAUUUCCAGUACAAGUUCAUCCACUUCUUUGAAGCAUGGUACUUCAAAUAGAGAAAAUGUCAAUGAUUUGGUAGAAGGUUAGCCGGUGUCAAAUUCCAGUAAGGGACAUGAUUUCAAUUUUGCAUUAACAGCAGAGCCGAAAUUCAUUUUGCUGCAAAAAGUUGGAGGAUGUGAAAGAAAAAAGUGCAGAAGUUAAAAUUAAGUUUUUCAUAUGAGCACAUAAAAAAUACUCAUAACAAAGUUCAGUUGUAUACAGGUUUGACAUAUAAUAAAUAUUUUUGUAACCUUAUUAGGUUAAUUAGUUUUAUACAUUAUUUAAAUAAUAAUUGUAUAGUUCACAUAGAA